This 254-nucleotide ribosomal RNA is filed under the name uncultured bacterium. RNAcentral's name for it is "partial 16S ribosomal RNA". It matches the Rfam family "Bacterial small subunit ribosomal RNA", at positions 524 to 776 of the family's 1533-position model. The record is from RNAcentral.
UACGGGGGGAGCAAGCGUUGUUCGGAUUUACUGGGCGUAAAGGGCGCGUAGGCGGCCACUGCAAGUCAGUUGUGAAGUCUCCGGGCUUAACCCGGAAAGGUCAACUGAUACUGCAGGGCUAGAGUGCAGAAGGGGCAACUGGAAUUCUCGGUGUAGCGGUGAAAUGCGUAGAUAUCGAGAGGAACACCUGCGGCGAAGGCGGGUUGCUGGGCUGACACUGACGCUGAUGUGCGAAAGCUAGGGGAGCGAACGGG